CACCCCUCAAGCCCAGCUUGGUGUUGGGGCAUUACCUGGCUGUCUCCUGACAGGCGGGUAAGCCCUGAAAUGUAGUGGCGAGCUCGCCAGGACUCCGAGCGCAGUAGUGUAAACCUCGCUCUGGAUCGUACUGGCGCGGCCCUGCCGUAAAACCCCCAACUUCUGAAA
Molecule: unclassified non-coding RNA, 168 nt
Filed under: uncultured Valsaceae
Lineage: Eukaryota; Fungi; Ascomycota; Sordariomycetes; Diaporthales; Cytosporaceae
Description: sequence contains ITS2
Source: RNAcentral